UCUAUACAUCUCACAUGUAUCCCUGCGCCUACGAUCCACUCCCAAAUCAUCCCUCUGUCUGUCCCUCUCAAACUCUUAUUAUUCACAACCCAAUUAGCUUUCAAUCUGCAGCCCAAAUUCUUCCACCUCCAAUCCCUUUCAACACUACAACAUCACAAACUGUUUUGAUGCGCAGAACCGGCAACGACAAACCAUAAUCAAGAAAAAGUUUUGCGCACCUCACUGCACGAAAGUAGCCAUCAAUCAAGAACACUAGCAGCUAAAGCAUGACAAUGACCACGUAAAUUGUUGUCCAAUGACGAGAGGUGAGGAGUGAGAGCUAAACCAUGUAUUUUCCUUCAAAUAUGCUUGUUCUUUCGGAGAAUCCUAUCACUGCCGUAAGGGCGGUGGGGGUGAUCCAUAUUCUGCUCGGGAGACGGGUGGCAAUGGGCCAGGGUAAUAGGGUGGCGGCGGUGGCAAUGCUGGUGUUGGACAGGCACAGGGCGGUGGUGGUGGGCAAGUUGGAUGAGGAUGCGGAUGCGGGGCAGGAGGGGGCGGUGAAUGGUGGUGGACAGGCGCGGGCGGCGGUGGUGAGUGGUGGUGGACUGGCGCAGGCGGCGGCGGUGAAUGGUGGUGGACCGGCGCAGGCGGUGGUGGUGAGUGGUGGACCGGCGCCGGCGGCGGAGGCGAUGGUGGAGGCGGCGAUGGGGGUGGAGGUGAGGGGGGCGGUGAUGGUGGGGGUGGAGAAGGUGGUGGUGGUGAUGGAGAAGGUGGUGGUGGAGAUGGCGAAGGCGGUGGAGGUGACGGCAGAGGCGGGGAUGGUGG
This 804-nucleotide long non-coding RNA is filed under the name Brachypodium distachyon (stiff brome). Its description in RNAcentral is "long non-coding RNA (BDIS_LNC001610)". The record is from RNAcentral. Lineage: Eukaryota; Viridiplantae; Streptophyta; Magnoliopsida; Poales; Poaceae.